CCUACGGGUGGCAGCAGUAGGGAAUCUUCGGCAAUGGACGAAAGUCUUACCGAGCAACGCCGCGUGAGUGAAGAAGGUUUUCAGAUCGUAAAACUCUGCUGUUAGAGAAGAACAAGUAGGAGAGUAACUGCUCUUACCUUGACGGUAUCUAACCAGAAAGCCACGGCUAACUACGUGCCAGCAGCCGCGGUAAUACGUAGGUGGCAAGCGUUGUCCGGAUUUAUUGGGCGUAAAGCGGGCGCAGGCGGUCUUUUAAGUCUGAUGUGAAAGCCCUCGGCUCAACCGAGGAAGGUCAUUGAAAACUGGAGGACUUGAGUGCAGAAGAGGAGAGUGGAAUUCCAUGUGUAGCGGUGAAAUGCGUAGAUAUAUGGAGGAACACCAGUGGCGAAGGCGACUCUCUGGUCUGUAACUGUCGCUGAGGCUCGAAAGCGUGGGGAGCAAACAGGAUUAGAUACCCGAGUAGUC
This 465-nucleotide ribosomal RNA is filed under the name uncultured bacterium. RNAcentral describes it as "bacterial SSU rRNA". It matches the Rfam family "Bacterial small subunit ribosomal RNA", at positions 338 to 795 of the family's 1533-position model. The record is from RNAcentral.